GACGAACGCUGGCGGCGUGGAUUAGGCAUGCAAGUCGAACGGUAUCAUCCUUUCGGGGGUGAGAGAGUGGCGAACUGGUGAGUAACACGUAGGUUAUCUACCCUCAAGACGGGGACAACCCAGGGAAACUUGGGCUAAUACCGGAUGUGAGCAACUUUUAGUUGUUUGAAAGGUGGCGUAAGCUGUCGCUUGGGGAUGAGCCUGCGUCCUAUUAGUUAGUUGGUGAGGUAACGGCUCACCUAGGCAAUGAUAGGUAGGCGGCCUUAACGGGUGGUCGCCCACACUGGGAUUGAGAUACGGCCCAGACUCCUACGGGAGCAGCAGUCGAGAAUAGUCUACAAUGGUCGGAAGACUGAUAGUGCGACGCCGCGUGAACGAUGAAUCCCUUCGGGGUUAAAGUUCUUUUAUAUGUGAGCAGUGCUUCUUAUAUUAACAGUAUGGGGAGAGAGAUAUUAGCAUAUGAAUAAGCAACGGCUAACUCCGUGCCAGCAGCCGGGUAAA
RNAcentral lists this ribosomal RNA (501 nucleotides) under uncultured bacterium. Its description in RNAcentral is "bacterial SSU rRNA". It matches the Rfam family "Bacterial small subunit ribosomal RNA", at positions 28 to 524 of the family's 1533-position model. The record is from RNAcentral.